AUUUCGUUCUUUGUAGAUGUUCAUCCCGCAGAAAUAAUUCACAAUUAAAUAGUUACGAAAUAGCAAUAAAAUACAUUCCACUGCUGCAACAUUGCAACUUUAUCAUAGACGACUGAGUUUAUAAAACAAAACACUUCUUAUGUGUUCAGACUAGUUGGAGAAAUAAUUGGCCUCUAAAACUAAUAUUAAUUUCCAGUCAGAGCAAGCUCGAUACUUACAGCGAAACUAAAAAUCAACCUAUCAGUCAUUAUAGCUAAUUAAAUAUACAUUUUUACGUUUCUUAUAAUAAAGAUUAGUAUGAUUUAUCCCACCAGUUGGAUACACUCCCUGUUAAUGAUAUUUUCGACAGUAAUCCUGAUAAUAUCUCAUGAGAAUCGGCCAGUUUCGAAGAUUUAUGUUAUUCCUAAAUACACUUAAUAUAAAAUUAUAAUGAUACUCAAUAAAUCAAAGCAAAUGUAAUGAUUAAUGAAAGUAGCAAUAAAUAAAUGAUAUGCUGUUGUAACAUUGUUCUUUCGUUGGUGGGUUCCAUUAAACCAUCUGAGGAAAAUAAUUCAAAGUACAGAGCACGAUAACAAGUCACUUUAUUUCUUCUUUCACAUUUCUACAAGCUUGAACACUUGUACACUGUUGUAGCUUUUUGUAGGUCUACUUUUAUAAACGAUGCUAAGUGCGCCCUAUUAACGUAAAAAUAAACUUACUUGUACAAAAUAUGCGCAAUAUUUAACACAGAUCCAAAUACUCCACUAAAAACGAAAACGCAUUCUACCGUAGAGAAACAACUCUUUAUCUUCAUAACCAACAUGAAAUAACUCCACCAUCUUGUAUUUGUAACGUACCCUCCAAUGUAGUAGAAAACCUAACAUCAGAUCCCUAGAACUUUCUAGGCCUAAUUUCCCACCAUCAUUAGUUCCCUCUAGCUAAAAAACAAAUAAUAACCAGAUGUGUGUUCCCAGGUUCUCUAUUUAUCACUGAUAAUAACCAGGUAUGUGUUCCCAGGUUUACUGAUAAUAACUAGGUAUGUGUUUCUAGGUUCACUGAUAAUAACGAAGUGUGUGUUCCCAGGUUCUCUAUUUAUCACUGAUAAUAACUAGGUGUGUGUUCCCAGGUUCACUGAUAAUAACUAGGUAUGUGUUUCCAGGUUCACUGAUAAUAACGAGGCGUGUGUUCCCAGGUUCACUGAUAAUAACCAGAUGUGUGUUCCCAGGUUCACUGAUAAUAACUAGGUAUCUGUUCCCAGGUUCACUGAUAAUAACCAGAUGUGUGUUCCCAGGUUCACUGAUAAUAACUAGGUAUGUGUUCCCAGGUUCACUGAUAAUAACCAGAUGUGUGUUCCCAGGUUAUAGCAUGGUACUGUAGUGUGUAAACAUCUAAAGUGUUCGAUUUUAUAAAGUUUUAUAUAGAGUACAGAUCAAUCAUGAGUCGCUUUGUUAAGUUCCUGAUGUACUGAAUAUCAACAGUUCUGGAAAAGAACAUGUAGAAUAUAAAUGUAGAAUAAUCACGUAUCAUGGUA
This is a long non-coding RNA of Limulus polyphemus (Atlantic horseshoe crab), 1510 nucleotides long. RefSeq lists it as uncharacterized. The record is from RefSeq and is a predicted model, not a curated record. NCBI's taxonomy places the organism in Eukaryota, Metazoa, Arthropoda, Merostomata, Xiphosura, Limulidae. The transcript is spliced from 4 exons.